GCCGGGGUGUUUUGGAAGAAAUCUAGCAUGAGAGCAAAACAUUGACCGACGUGUAUUUUCAAAAGCAAAACUACGUCACAUAGCACAACUUAAGGCCGACAAGAUUGUUCAAGGAACACAAACCAAGAAAAAGGGGCCACGUUUUGAGAACAGGAAUGAGAAAUACCACGAAUUUGAACAAGUGCCAUCCAUUUUUAAGAGAGAUGAGUCUACUACGGAGAAGAGGGACCUUUUGUUUCUAAAGGCUGCCUAUCUGCAGAUUUCCUUUCCCUGUCCGUGCUGAUGACGCUAGAGAACGUUCUGUUUUGUCUUCCUUUCUCGGCUCCUCCCGAGUGUGUAAAAGCAAAUGCACACCCUCAUGGGCCUCUGCAUUGCUAAGUCGGAGGGGCCGUUUGGGGUCUGGAUCCCAUUCCUUGACCAGCGCUCCCAGAGGGUCGCCAUGUAACGGGCCAGCAUAGUAGCUGCUGGAAGGCACCUGUAACGUUCCCGUGGUUCGUCCAUGAGGCCAAUGUGGAGAAAAGACAGGA
Molecule: long non-coding RNA, 527 nt
Organism: Thamnophis elegans (Western terrestrial garter snake)
Lineage: Eukaryota; Metazoa; Chordata; Lepidosauria; Squamata; Natricidae
Exons: 3
Source: RefSeq, a predicted model, not a curated record